CUUCAGUGAUGAUACGAUGACGAGUCGGAACUGGACUCACUCUGGUUCUGUUGGUUUGUGGUUCAGAGUCACGUUCUGUGGUUCUGCUCCCAGUCUUCAGAUCAGGACGUCCUUUUUGGUUGAAGACAUCGAGGCAUUUGUCUGAGAAGG
Small nucleolar RNA from Cheilinus undulatus (humphead wrasse), 150 nucleotides. NCBI's taxonomy places the organism in Eukaryota, Metazoa, Chordata, Actinopteri, Labriformes, Labridae. The record is from RefSeq and is a predicted model, not a curated record.